This 72-nucleotide transfer RNA is filed under the name Camelus bactrianus (Bactrian camel). It matches the Rfam family "tRNA". Rfam says of the family: Transfer RNA (tRNA) molecules are approximately 80 nucleotides in length. Their secondary structure includes four short double-helical elements and three loops (D, anti-codon, and T loops). The record is from Rfam by way of RNAcentral. Lineage: Eukaryota; Metazoa; Chordata; Mammalia; Artiodactyla; Camelidae. RNAcentral also lists the same sequence under 2 other names.
AAGGGUAUAUCUCAGUGGUAGAGUAUGUGCUUAGCACACACAAGGUCCUGGGUUCAAUCCCCAGUACCUCCA